UGUAACGUCAUUUUAUUCACACAUAAAAUUAUGUAUUUGAAAAAUGACAUAACAAUACACUGGUGAGAAAUGGUAGUUUGCAAAAAUUGGUCGCCUUCUACACUCUUAAAAUUAAAGAUUGAUAGGCCCAUAUUUAGAGAUUGUCUCCUCCACUAAAAAUGAAAUUUGCAAUCCCUUAAAGCAGUGCCAUACAUUAACACAUAGGUACAUGUAUGUUUAAGGAUAUCAUCUCUCUAUAACAUUUGAAAACUUUUUUUAUUAUGAAAAAAGUGUAUGUCAACUAAAUUUAUAACUAAAAUUCUUAGUUUUGUCACUAGCAAGUUUUACUGCACAGACUUCCCAGUGCCAUUGUACUGUAGAAAGUGGUAUUACAUGUUGAAUGCCAAUGGUUUAGGUUUAUUAGUUCCACAUAAACAUGAAAUUAUACAAAUCUUCACUGCCCAAAUUGGGUUGAGGGCAGCAGCCCCGAUUGCCGGAUCAAAAGUCAAAGUUUGUAAAAUCAUCCCAUGGUGGACUGCACAAUUCAUGUUGCCUGAUAACAUCAUUACAUGGUCCACCUUUGUUCCUUGACAUGCUGCCUUAUAUCAUUACUUCAUGCUCAGAUUGCAACUUGUCCUGCAACUGCCCCUUGCAUUGACCAAAUGAAGAUUUGUAAGAAGAAUACAAAUCGAAGGAUGUUUAUUCAGAUCAGGGAAUGGAUUCAAGUAUCUAUAAAGGUGAAAAUGCAUGGAACAGUCGGUCCUACACAAAAUUGAGGCAGAGAUCGGAUAGCCAGAGAUGGUUUUUUCUAUAAAGUGUUACAAUGAAAAUUGUGAAAGUGAGCUGUGUUUUUGUUUCUAAUUUUCAUUGGAUCUAAUUCACUAUUGGAUUAAUUACAAGAGAUUUCAAGGAUUGGCCCCUAUCAGCUAUGACCUAAUCAAGCCACUUCACUGAGUAAGGGAGAUAAUCAGCUGUUCCCUCUUCUGGUGGCAGCCCUUAUCUUAUUCCCUUUACGGACUUGAUAACUACCAUUGGUAGAAAAGAAGAAACGCAGACAGACGUGGGAAGAAUCUUGCAUCAAUGAACUUCUUCUACAAAUCUCUGAAAAAUUCAUUAUCAAUGUCUCAUGUUGGAUUUGUGAAUGGAAAUUGCAAGUUUUCUGAUAUUCUGCUGCCAUUAUACAUACAGAUAGGAAAUCUGGUUUUCAUUUGAGGUUUCUAAGAGGUGUGGGAAUAUAGUGGGAUAGCCAAACCCUCACACUGGUUUAGAGCAUAACUUUUUAGAUUCAAGCCAUUGCUCUGACAUUCUUUCAUUAACCAUUAUUUGACAAAAAAUUGUUGUAAAUUUAACUUAUUUUCUUAGGCAUUUCUUUAUUUCCUGUGUCCUUUAUCGUGGGGGCAAAUAUAGGGAGAGGAUUAAAAGCUGAUAAAACGUCUGAGUUUGACAAGCUACUUGUCAUUGUAAUCCUUCAACUCUUAGCGCUGAAAAUCAGACUGUCUAUGCUCUAUUAAACACCAAAUGCUAUUAAUUUUAAAUUAAUAUUUAGAAGCACUUUUGCACAGUAAAAUGAUUUGAUAAUUUAAGGUGAUCUGCUCCACUGGAGAUAAGUCCAGGUAAAUUCACUUGAUGUAUGUUUUGUGCUCUAAACGUCAUUUUCAAAGCACAAAUAGAUCUGAAAUUGAAUUUGUAUAUUUAAUUUUCUUUUAUUUGAAAAGAUAGUAGUUUUAAGUAUGAUAUACAGUCAUUUCUAAGGCUGCUUAAUCAAAUGAGACUUUGAAAAAAAACCCAAAAAACCAGGUUUUUGAUGUUUUUUGGUUUGUCAAUAGAUAACAGCAUUUUUUUUGGAGUCAAGGUAGAACAAGGCUUUGAAUUAUCUUUGUGACAUUGUAAUGUGUGUCAUACAGUCUGUUAAAGGGGAGAUCUAUUGGUCAGAGACCCUGGAGCCAAAAACCUCAGUGUUAGGGUACAAUUUGGGGUGACUGACCCCCGUCAAAUUUCAGAGAUAAGAACCAUUGAUCACCAUUUAUUUUCUGGAUUGUAAACACUUACUUUAUUCCUUGUACUGCACUUCAAGGUUUCUCUUUCAAAAACUCUAUGUUAUGAUCCCAAGACAUUUGUUUGUACAUGGUAUUCUGUGUAUGUAAAGAUUUUUAUUUGAAAACAUCAUCUUUGUCAUCAAAAUAAAUACAGGUUUAAAGGAA
Magallana angulata is the source of this 2180-nucleotide long non-coding RNA. RefSeq lists it as uncharacterized. Lineage: Eukaryota; Metazoa; Mollusca; Bivalvia; Ostreida; Ostreidae. The record is from RefSeq and is a predicted model, not a curated record. The transcript has 6 exons.